This 411-nucleotide long non-coding RNA is filed under the name Populus tremula. Its description in RNAcentral is "long non-coding RNA (PTRE_LNC002220)". The record is from RNAcentral. Lineage: Eukaryota; Viridiplantae; Streptophyta; Magnoliopsida; Malpighiales; Salicaceae.
UAUAGUAGAGCUCGCUUACCAGACGAAACCAGGCCUUUAAGGUAAGGCUGGAGUGGAAGGGAGAGUACGGUAGAAGAUCGAAGAGAAUCUGGUUCGAGGAGCCUAGCCUUCUUUGCUAUUAGUUUCAAUAUCUGCUGCUUUUGUUUGCGCCAACCCUCUUAGAAGGAAGAACUCUGGGGACUUCCGGAUUAACUGAUUAAGGAGUUAGCGGGAAGAAGAUUAGCAGUACGAGGAGGCGAUUCAGCAAGCUAGCCACACCUCCAUCACCUGACACUUUCUUAUUCACAGUUUCACACCGUAGAGAGAGUGCUAGAGAACUGGAUUUUGUUACAGAGUGAGUAAAGUGUGGAAUCUGUGGGUUAUGUGAGCGCGACUGUGAGGAAUGAGGGAGCGGCGCUGGAGAGAAAAGUA